This 345-nucleotide ribosomal RNA is filed under the name Leiophasma lucubense. Its description in RNAcentral is "partial small subunit ribosomal RNA". The record is from RNAcentral. Lineage: Eukaryota; Metazoa; Arthropoda; Insecta; Phasmatodea; Anisacanthidae.
AGAUAUGUUCUUUAAACCUAAAGAAUUUGGCGGUAUUUUAUUCUAUUCAGAGGAAUUUGCCCUAUAAUCGAUAAUCCUCGUUUUAUCUUACUUUAUUUUGUUUAUCAGUUUGUAUACCGCCGUUAUAAGUUUAUUUUUAUAGAAUUUUAAUUUACUUUAAUUUUUAUUUUUAUUUAUUUCAGGUCAAGGUGCAGCUUAUAUUAAAGUUGAGGUUAAUUACAAUAUUAUUUGAAUAUAAUGGAUUUUUUUUUUAAAUUUAAAAUGAAAGUGGAUUUGUUAGUAAUUUUAAUUAUAUUUUUAUUUUGAAUUUAGUUUUAAAAUAAGUACACAUCGCCCGUCGCUCUA